CACUUUGCUGCCCUGUUUCCAAUUGUCCACAUGGCUGGGAGAACCUAAAUACCUUGUAACUGGAGAUUCAUUCAAAGCGAUUGCCUACAGUUAACGUGUAGGGCACUGCACGGUUGGGUGACCAGGGUCAUCUGGGACUGAGGAAUUCAGGUGUGUGAAGGCUACCUGUGUCCUGCAUAACUUCACCAGGAGGGGAUAUGCAGCCGCCGUGUGCCAGAGAAGUCUGCUGCUCUGCAGGAUGUUUCAAGGAUGGGGUACAACAACACAGCAAGAGAGGCAAUCCGUGUGCGGGAAAUCUUCACCUCCUACUUCUUUGAAGAUGGUGCUGUUCCCUGGCAACACAAUAGACUGCACUAUGCACAACCAAAGGCUCUUUUAAGAGCCAUUCACAUUGCAAUAAGAGUAGUCUUCCAUUUACUUAGCUAUGUCAUUUUUGCAGUUAUUCAAUUUCCAGUUUCUCUCCCUUUGAGUUCUACUUCUAAGGUGAGGGUGCUGUUUAGGUAAGGGUGUGAUGUCUGUACAAAAACAAAACAGGCUAUUUUAAAAUCACCCAUAUUGAAAAAAUGUAGAGCAAUUAGACACCCUAUAACCCAUACCUACACUCAUGUAUCAAUCUGAUUGAUGGAUUGUGUUGUGCAGUAAACAGGCUCAGGUGUAUAACUGUGGCUCCUUCCACCUUCAAAGAAUAGGCAAGAGGGCCAACCAUGGAGAAUAGUUAUAUCAGCUGUGUCGGUGAAACCCUCCCACAUUUGAACUGGCUACAUAGAUGGCACAGCAUGAUCAGAGAUGUUUUUAUUUGAGAGGAUGCCAACCCUGUCUCAUCAUCGCCACCUCAACUUUCGUGCCGACUAGACACUUAUGUAAUUGUUAUGAACUGAGAGAAUAUUUGGGUAGCACUAAUCAUUAAUCAUAUGCUGCCUUCCCUGCUCCUAUGUUCUUACCUCUUUCCCUGUCUUUUACACCUCUCUCACUGCCUCUUUCUUCCUGUUUUUAUAAUGCACAACAGAUGUGCAUUGAAGUACAGAUUGAACUUGUAUUUAUAAUAUUAUAAUAUUUGUAAUGCAUGUAUUUAUAACACUUGGAUUAUUAACUUCUUUUAAUAAAGCGUUUCACAUUCUCUA
This is a long non-coding RNA of Oncorhynchus tshawytscha (Chinook salmon), 1121 nucleotides long. NCBI's taxonomy places the organism in Eukaryota, Metazoa, Chordata, Actinopteri, Salmoniformes, Salmonidae. The record is from Ensembl.